This 70-nucleotide transfer RNA is filed under the name Isometopus sp. RNAcentral's name for it is "tRNA-Lys". It matches the Rfam family "tRNA". Rfam says of the family: Transfer RNA (tRNA) molecules are approximately 80 nucleotides in length. Lineage: Eukaryota; Metazoa; Arthropoda; Insecta; Hemiptera; Miridae. The record is from RNAcentral.
CAUUAAGUAGCUUAAAAACAAGCAUUGGUCUCUUAAACCAAAAUAUAGUAAUAGAUGAUACUCUUAAUGA